GGGGAUGUAGCUCGGUUGGUAGAGUGCUUGCCCGGAAUGCCCAAGGCCCUGGGUUCAAUCCCCAGCACCACCA
RNAcentral lists this transfer RNA (73 nucleotides) under Ictidomys tridecemlineatus (thirteen-lined ground squirrel). Its description in RNAcentral is "Spermophilus tridecemlineatus (thirteen-lined ground squirrel) tRNA". It matches the Rfam family "tRNA". From Rfam's summary of the family: Transfer RNA (tRNA) molecules are approximately 80 nucleotides in length. Their secondary structure includes four short double-helical elements and three loops (D, anti-codon, and T loops). Lineage: Eukaryota; Metazoa; Chordata; Mammalia; Rodentia; Sciuridae. The record is from Rfam by way of RNAcentral.